ACGAACGCUGGCGGCGUGCUUAACACAUGCAAGUCGAACGGAAAGGCCCUGCUUUUGUGGGGUGCUCGAGUGGCGAACGGGUGAGUAACACGUGAGUAACCUGCCCUUGACUUUGGGAUAACUUCAGGAAACUGGGGCUAAUACCGGAUAGGAGCUCCUGCUGCAUGGUGGGGGUUGGAAAGUUUCGGCGGUUGGGGAUGGACUCGCGGCUUAUCAGCUUGUUGGUGGGGUAGUGGCUUACCAAGGCUUUGACGGGUAGCCGGCCUGAGAGGGUGACCGGCCACAUUGGGACUGAGAUACGGCCCAGACUCCUACGGGAGGCAGCAGUGGGGAAUAUUGCACAGUGGGCGGAAGCCUGAUGCAGCAACGCCGCGUGCGGGAUGACGGCCUUCGGGUUGUAAACCGCUUUCGCCUGUGACGAAGCGUGAGUGACGGUAAUGGGUAAAGAAGCACCGGCUAACUACGUG
This 467-nucleotide ribosomal RNA is filed under the name uncultured bacterium. RNAcentral's name for it is "partial 16S ribosomal RNA". It matches the Rfam family "Bacterial small subunit ribosomal RNA", at positions 29 to 507 of the family's 1533-position model. The record is from RNAcentral.